This 266-nucleotide ribosomal RNA is filed under the name uncultured bacterium. RNAcentral's name for it is "partial 16S ribosomal RNA". It matches the Rfam family "Bacterial small subunit ribosomal RNA", at positions 793 to 1055 of the family's 1533-position model. The record is from RNAcentral.
GUCCACGCCGUAAACGAUGAGUGCUAGGUGUAGAGGGUAUCGACCCCUUCUGUGCCGCAGUUAACACAAUAAGCACUCCGCCUGGGGAGUACGGCCGCAAGGUUGAAACUCAAAGGAAUUGACGGGGGCCCGCACAAGCGGUGGAGCAUGUGGUUUAAUUCGACGCAACGCGAAGAACCUUACCAGGGCUUGACAUCCUACGAACUUUCUAGAAAUAGAGAGGUGCCCUUCGGGGAGCGUAGAGACAGGUGGUGCAUGGUUGUCGU